UAGUGGCGGACGGGUGAGUAACGCGUGGGCAACCUACCCAUAAGAGGGGGAUAACAGCUGGAAACGGCUGCUAAUACCGCAUAAGCUUUUUAGGACACAUGUUUUGAAAAGUAAAGGAGGCUUUCCGCUUCCGCUUAUGGAUGGGCCCGCGUCUGAUUAGCUAGUUGGUAGGGUAACGGCCUACCAAGGCAACGAUCAGUAGCCGGCCUGAGAGGGUGGACGGCCACACUGGGACUGAGACACGGCCCAGACUCCUACGGGAGCAGCAGUGGGGAAUAUUGCGCAUGGGGGAACCCUGACGCA
Molecule: ribosomal RNA, 303 nt
Filed under: uncultured prokaryote
Description: bacterial SSU rRNA
Rfam family: Bacterial small subunit ribosomal RNA
Source: RNAcentral